RNAcentral lists this small RNA (713 nucleotides) under Pongo abelii (Sumatran orangutan). RNAcentral's name for it is "retained intron". Lineage: Eukaryota; Metazoa; Chordata; Mammalia; Primates; Hominidae. The record is from RNAcentral.
GGAGACGCAAGAUGGCGGCUGUGGUGCUGGCGGCGACGCGGUUGCUGCGGGGCUCGGGUUCUUGGGGCUGUUCGCGGCUGAGGUUUGGACCUCCUGCGUACAGACGGUUUAGUAGUGGUGGUGCCUAUCCCAACAUCCCCCUCUCUUCUCCUUUACCUGGAGUACCCAAACCUGUUUUUGCUACAGUUGAUGGACAGGAAAAGUUUGAAACCAAAGUGACCACAUUGGAUAAUGGGCUUCGCGUGGCAUCUCAGAAUAAGUUUGGACAGUUUUGUACAGUAGGAAUUCUCAUCAAUUCAGGAUCGAGAUAUGAAGCGAAAUACCUUAGUGGAAUUGCUCACUUUUUGGAAAAAUUGGCAUUUUCGUCUACUGCUCGAUUUGACAGCAAAGAUGAAAUUCUGCUUACGUUGGAAAAGCAUGGGGGUAUUUGUGACUGCCAGACAUCAAGAUGAAGAAGUCGAGAUGACACGGAUGACGGUCCAGUUUGAGCUGGAGGACCUGAACCUGCGGCCUGACCCAGAGCCACUUCUCACCGAGAUGAUUCAUGAAGUAAAAUGUCGAACUUGAGAAUGCCCCCGCAUCUCGAACAAUGGUCCUCAGGACACCAGGGGUGGUGGGGAGGGUGCCUCCUUGAUGUUGUCCUUGCAGGUGAUGGAUAAAUACAGAGCAUUUUUUUGUUUUUUGAGAUGAGAUUUCUCCACAUUGCCUACGCU